This 403-nucleotide ribosomal RNA is filed under the name uncultured bacterium. RNAcentral's name for it is "partial 16S ribosomal RNA". It matches the Rfam family "Bacterial small subunit ribosomal RNA", at positions 30 to 526 of the family's 1533-position model. The record is from RNAcentral.
AUUGAACGCUGGCGGCAGGCCUAACACAUGCACGUCGAACGAGUGGCGGACGGGUGAGUAAUGUCUGGGACACUGCCCGAUGGAGGGGGAUAACUACUGGAAACGGUAGCUAAUACCGCAUACCAGCGGAUGUGCCCAGAUGGGAUUAGCUAGUAGGUGGGGGAACGGCUCACCUAGGCGACGAUCCCUAGCUGGUCUGAGAGGAUGACCAGCCACCCUGGAACUGAGACACGGUCCAGACUCCUACGGGAGGCAGGAGUGGGGAAGAUUGCACAAGGGGCGCCAGCCUGAUGCAGCCAUGCCGCGUGUAUGAAGAAGGCCUUCGGGUUGUAAAGUACUUUCAGCGAGGCAUUAACUACAGAAGAAGCACCGGCUAACUCCGUGCCAGCCGCCGCGGUAAUAC